UACGGGGGGAGCAAGCGUUGUUCGGAUUUACUGGGCGUAAAGGGCGCGUAGGCGGCCACCGCAAGUCGGUUGUGAAAUCUCUGGGCUUAACCCAGAAAGGUCAAUCGAUACUGCGGGGCUAGAGUGCAGAAGGGGCAACUGGAAUUCUCGGUGUAGCGGUGAAAUGCGUAGAUAUCGAGAGGAACACCGGUGGCGAAGGCGGCAUCCUGGACCGGUAUUGACGCUGAGGCGCGAAAGCUAGGGGAGCAAACGGG
This 254-nucleotide ribosomal RNA is filed under the name uncultured prokaryote. RNAcentral describes it as "partial 16S ribosomal RNA". It matches the Rfam family "Bacterial small subunit ribosomal RNA", at positions 524 to 776 of the family's 1533-position model. The record is from RNAcentral.